RNAcentral lists this transfer RNA (125 nucleotides) under Penicillium egyptiacum. RNAcentral's name for it is "tRNA-Ser". It matches the Rfam family "tRNA". From Rfam's summary of the family: Transfer RNA (tRNA) molecules are approximately 80 nucleotides in length. Their secondary structure includes four short double-helical elements and three loops (D, anti-codon, and T loops). Lineage: Eukaryota; Fungi; Ascomycota; Eurotiomycetes; Eurotiales; Aspergillaceae. The record is from RNAcentral.
CGGCGGUUUGGCCGAGUGGUCUAAGGCGAUUGACUAGAAUUUGCUUGAGAUCAAAAUCUGAAAUCAAGCUUUUCAUUAUCAAUUCCGUUCGCGGGCGCAUGUUCGAAUCAUGCAGCCGUCGUUGC